UACGGGGGGGGCAAGCGUUGUUCGGAAUUACUGGGCGUAAAGGGCUCGUAGGUGGCCAACUAAGUCAGACGUGAAAUCCCUCAGCUUAACUUGGGGACUGCGUCCGAGACUGGAUGGCUUGAGUGCAGGAGAGGAACGCGGAAUUCCAGGUGUAGCGGUGAAAUGCGUAGAUAUCUGGAGGAACACCGGUGGCGAAGGCGGCGUUCUGGACUGCUACUGACACUGAGGAACGAAAGCCAGGGGAGCAAACGGG
RNAcentral lists this ribosomal RNA (253 nucleotides) under uncultured bacterium. RNAcentral describes it as "partial 16S ribosomal RNA". It matches the Rfam family "Bacterial small subunit ribosomal RNA", at positions 524 to 776 of the family's 1533-position model. The record is from RNAcentral.